This 2504-nucleotide unclassified non-coding RNA is filed under the name Hevea brasiliensis (rubber tree). The record is from RNAcentral. Lineage: Eukaryota; Viridiplantae; Streptophyta; Magnoliopsida; Malpighiales; Euphorbiaceae.
GCAGCUGCCAAAAGAUUCAAAUAAUCAUACGAAUAGGUAAGUUGAUGCUUCUAUUGUUAAGAGUAUCUUGUCCAAUUUGUUCCAAGUAAAUAACAUGCUGACUAAUAAAUAGGCAUGUUUGAAGAACAUAGCAGGCAACUUGAGGCAAUCCCAAAUUAUAUAAUAUUCAGGAGAACUAGCUAUAUCAAUUCUUAGGGUUGUCCUUGGCUUUCUUCAUAUUAUGAAAUAGCUCACCAAGUUGCAAUUCACAGGCAGCUUGUGUCUCGGGGGCCAAUUCUUUAAGGAAUGAUUUCGUAAUGUCAUGGAUUGACACAAUCUGGAAGAUCUUACCACAAAACUUGCGCACCUCAGCCCGCCUUGACUUGUUUUCUGGCAUAUUCAUCACCAAUUCCUUUACCAGGUGACUGAGCUUUUGCAGAUGGUUUUUCAACAUCUUUUUUGAUGCAUUGCGGCUGCUUUCGUCAGUGCCAGAAGAAACCAUCGACUUCAAAAUUUCCAUCACUAAAUCAAGCGCAUCAACUCGGCGAAAUUCAGACUUUGCACUGCCACAUUUCUCCAAAAGGAAGCCAAAUAGAUGGUGCCCAAUCCAUGGCCUUCUUCUGAAUAUUUCUUUCAAAAAUUCAGAUUUUAUUUGAGACUUUUUACUGUCAAAAUAUCCCACCAACACCCCUUUAAAAAUAUCAAAAACUCUCUGCAGUUCAGAAUCAGAAAAUUUUCUGGCAUCAAUGAUUUUCAGAAUCCAAUAGGUUGAAUUCUGGGCAAGGGAAAUAAUCAUUUUGUGGCGCUUCCAUGAGGCUGACUGCUUCUUCUUUGAUGGAACUGCAGAUUUCUUCCUCUUGAAUGGUUUUGAUGCCAACUUUAAGUUCUUUUCCAAUAAAGAUUCAAGUGUAGACAGUUGCACGGCUUCACCCUUUGGGAAGUCCUUUGCUUUAAAUAUUUUCUUUUGCAGGAUUCCCCAUAUACGCUGUCCAAGCUGCUCACUGAUUUCUGUAGUAUGUGGUUUAACAAGUGCAGAUGCCAAGUUUGAGUACAAUGUCAGAACUUGAGGCUUGCCUGGAUUUUCAUGUAGGUAAAUCUCCAGCAAUGAAAGGACUCGAAGUUUGAACAAAACAAGCUGGGAUUGAGCAGUUUCACCCCCAGCCUGAUUCUUCCUCUCUUUGAAAAUUUGGGCAAGGUAGGUGUCCAUUCGGAACAUUGCAUCAUCAUCCAUUCCUCCAUCAGAAUCAUCAGAAUCUAUAGGUGAUUCCUUGACAGCUUCGUCAGCUUCUACUACUGCCUCAGAAUCAUCUGUCUGCUCUUCAAUCUCAACUGUUUCACCUAUCUCAGCUUCAUCAAUUUCAUCUUCUUCAAUACCAAGAAAAUCUUCAUCAUCAUCAUCAUCUUCGCUAUCCGGUUCCUGAUGUCUGGCUGAUUUCAAAUCCUUCUUGAUGACACGCAACAUCUGAAGAAGUCCAUCAUUUGUCACUUCAUCACAGAAAUACUUGAAAACCUGUUCAAUGGCAUAGGAGCUGAAGACUGUGGCAACAAUGAAAGCAAUGUAUCCACAAGAACAUCCAUUAACUCAGGACUCCCAUCACUAUCCAAUUCAUCUUCUCCUGAGGUGUCAAGCAGAUCAGAAGCUGCAAAAGCUUUCUUAUAGCAGAUGACAAGUUCAGACACAGCUUCAGAGAAUUCUCCUGGUCUAAGGAGCACUUGGAGCAGCAACUGGAUCAGUAAAUACUUCAAUGCGUGUAAUUUAUUAACAUCUGUACUAUGCCCACAAUUCCUUUCCUCUCUGGACAAUCUAGUUUCCAUUUCUUGCAAUCUUUCCAAUGCCUUUUCAUCCUCAUUACUCAAAGGUCGAAACAAAGAAAUGGAAGGAAUAUUGCGUAAUGUGCUAAGGAAUCGCAUGAAGUAAGACCCAAGAUCAUUGGGCUCAAGGACAUUUGCCAAAGAAUGUGGCCCCUCCAUCUUUUGAGCACUUGCCAGCAAAAGUUGGACCUGCUCAAUACACAUCUUGCAAGUGGCGCUUGAGGCGGCUACUUUUGGCCACCUAAAUUUCUCCUGUAAUUCAAAAGAUGUAACUUCAGAUCCAAGAGAUGCAGAGAACAGACCUUGAACAGUUAGAAACUUCAAAAUUUCCUUUUGCACCCGAAAUUUUGCUUCAGAAUCCAGCUUCAAACAUUUCAAAAUACUUGGGAGGGACUCCACAACCCAGAUUUUCAAAAAAUCAGAAUUUCCCAUUGCACUACCUGAAUCCUUAUCCUCUAUUGAACCUAUCUCUGAGUUGUCAUCAGUUGUCUGGCUCUGAUCUGAAGGUUCCUCUGAAGUGUGACCUUCAUCCACAAACAUGUUCAUUAAAUUCUGAAUAAACAGCAUACAACCUGCUUCUGUCAUGAACUCUGUCAUUAAAGUUUUAACUGUUUUUGUUCUUGUGACGUUAUCAAAUUUUCCAUUGCUAUGCUUUUGUAAAGCCACUAUGACAGCAACCCUUCUGACAUCAUCAUUUCCAACCCAAUCUGACA